CGCUGAGCAGCCUUUAGGGGCUGGCAUGUUCAGCUGGGCACGUGUCCACAACGAGGCAUCACGCGCAGUCUGAGCUGAGCUCUAGUCUCUGGGUUUCAGGACUUUCAGCACAGUCCUGGCCCUUCACGUUUAGUCUGGGUGAUCAGGGACGUAAACCAGCCAUGGCAAGGUGGUGAAGCACCACCAUGGAAGGGCACCAGCCGGGCCCUGGGGUCACAGAAGUGUCCCAGGAAGUGCAGCUGUUAAGCCUGGUGAGAGGAGAGCGAGCCAGGGGGACGGCGAGAGACAGGCAUGACGGGGCGGAGCUCCAGGAGCAGUGGCCGUGGUCAGAUGACAACAAAGGUGGUCAGGAUCCCGAGGACAAAGAGAUGCAGCCGUGGCUGCUGGGCGUAGCUGGUAGUCUGACGACAAAACACUACAAGACAUCCCUCAGCAGGUGCCCCCAGACGCACAGCUGAAUGACAGAGAGAAGUGACCCCGUGCAGGCUUCAUCUGACUCCCUCCACACGACGGAGUCCACGGCCCUGGGUAAGCC
RNAcentral lists this long non-coding RNA (535 nucleotides) under Macaca mulatta (Rhesus monkey). Its description in RNAcentral is "lncRNA (ENSMMUG00000062993.1)". Lineage: Eukaryota; Metazoa; Chordata; Mammalia; Primates; Cercopithecidae. The record is from RNAcentral.